RNAcentral lists this non-coding RNA (148 nucleotides) under Nomascus leucogenys (northern white-cheeked gibbon). Lineage: Eukaryota; Metazoa; Chordata; Mammalia; Primates; Hylobatidae. The record is from Rfam by way of RNAcentral.
GCCGGGUAUGGUGGUGGGCGCCUGUAAUCCCAGCUACUCGGGAGGCUGAGGCAGGAGAAUCGCUUGAACCCAGGAGGUGGAGGUUGUAGUGAGCCGAGAUGGGGCCACUGCACUCCAGCCUGGGCGACAGAGCGAGACUCUGCCUCAA